GGGAAAUGCUGCAAUAUAAGAAUGCAAAGAUGUCAGAUUAGCUACUGAUGUUACGUCAGUAAUGUUAUAAUGCAGUUUUAUGAUUCUGUCAGACUUUCACGGGUGGUCGCUGGUUGCUCAUUAUAGGGUCACGGGGGUUUUCGGGUGUUUCCGAUCACACUGGCGCGUUGUUGGUCUGCUGGUGCCGCGGGGUGAAUCGGAGGAGUCCUUCCACCCCUCCGAGCGCCAUCGGACCUGCUGUGCGCAGUAACGUCUUGCUUCUUUCUCGAGUGCGCGCGGAAUAGACUUUGUAUGAGUGUAAAUUAAUAUAGGCUACUGAGUUUAAUAGGCUGUGACUUAUUGGCUGAUUUUAAGCCUUAGUUUUAUAUGCGGGAUGAUGUGCGCGCAUGUAGGCCUGCAGUCGUGACCCGCGGGCGCGCGCUCUCAGCGCUGGAAUGAACUCCUGUAGUGCUACGUGUUAGUGUCAUAAUUGCAUCACAUAAACACACAGAGAGCGCAUUUAACGCGUUUAAACAGAAAAUAUAGAAAGACGAGAAGAGAGGCGAACGACGGGCCAAACGCACACAAACACGCGCGCUGUUCUGGUCAACAAUAACCUCUUGUAUUUCCAUCUCCCUCCUCCCCCCACUCAAGCCAAAAAUCAUUGCCUUUUUCAUUAUCCAUGAAUGUUGACUCUGAUAAGGGGAUCCUGACCAUGAGAGCAUCUCUCUGUCUCGGUCUCCGGCGCUCUUUGCAGUCCUUUGUUUUAUCUCAGGUGAAUUGUAAUCAUGUGAUCAAACGAACACCCCCCUUCCAUUACCCUCUUAAAUGAAAAAAUGAGGAACAAAAAGCAGUUCUGUGUAUAUAAAAAAAGAAAAGAAAAGAGAAAAGACGCGCGUCUCCCUUUGGAGAGUCUUUUCUCCGUGUGGCUUCAAACGUACACAUAUAGAGGAAAAGCGCGGCGCCGUGUCUCCGUCUCUCGGCGGUACAGAUGUGCGGGGAUCAUGCGGAUCUGAGGCCUGCUGCACGCUUUGAUUCAGGAAUGAGUCUGUCUGCCUCAGGCCUGGAUCCCCAGACUUCUCUCUCUCCAUCAGACGCGCUGCAGAGCUUCAGCCAUGGCUCUGGAUCCAUGACACUGUGUUUGUGUUGUCAUUUAGAGAGUAUGUCAAUAAACGUGUGGUUCAGAAAUCUACUUUGGUCACUUCAACUUUACACUGUAAAAAAAAUCCACCUACUUCAGCUUCGAAACUUAAGUUUAGUUCCCACCUUAGUUUUUUAAUUAUAAUUAAACUGACUGCAGAAUUAUUAUAAUUAGUUAACUACAACUAAAAACAUUAUAUAUAUAUAUAUAUCAAUAAGUCAUAACAUGUUUUUUUUUCCAUUAAUUUAACUCAUCAAAUUAAUUUUGCCAAUAUUCAGCUUCAUGUUUAGAGGUUAUACAAUGUUCAACUCAAUUUAUAAAGUAUGUUAAUCAGUUAAUAUAAUUCGUUUUGAAAUGACUUGUACAGACAAUCAGACGAUGUCACUUCCUGCAUCUGAUAUCAUUAAGAAACAGGCUUUUGUUUUACAAAAGGGUUUUACAGUUGACAUGAAGAAAAAAAAAAUUAAGAAACGUUGUUGUCUUUGAACUUUUACUCUGACCCUUGAGGUCAAAGGUCACUGUUAGGAGCAGAAGUUCAGUGCUGUUGCAUAACUGGAUUAGACUAAUAUUACAAAAUAGUAAUCUAUUUUUUUUUUUUGUUUUGUUUUGUUAUUUUAUUUUAAUUUUUUUGAGACUAAUCAAAACCGUUUUAAAGUCAGUUUUCCUAAAAAAAUAAAAUAAUAAAAAAAGAAAGGUAAAAGAGAUUA
Molecule: long non-coding RNA, 1827 nt
Organism: Cyprinus carpio (common carp)
Lineage: Eukaryota; Metazoa; Chordata; Actinopteri; Cypriniformes; Cyprinidae
Source: Ensembl